UAAAAUUUUCACAUCAAUCAUUGCACAUGACAAUAAUAUUCCAUUCCACUCAUCAUCUGCUAAUUACAUUAUCAAAGGAAACAAACAAAACUCUGUAACAGAGGAGAGCGGCAAUGCAGAAUAUUGAGCUGAUAUUAUGUUGCCGGAGAUGGGGUUUCAAGGAAGAUAUGUGAGACUUGGCGAAGUUGAAGAUCUGAAAGUUGCAAGUAGGCCAAGAAGGUGUUGGCUAAUCAAGAAAAUGAAUGGAAGAUUGAAAGGUAUCAAGUUAUCCCGGUCUAGAAAGCUGAAUUGGAAGGCAUUUUCUAUGGUAAUAUUGCCAAGGAGGAUUGCUAGAAUAUAUGGGGAGAUAGUGAAAAGAAUGAAGAAUAUGGAAGAUGUAUGUCCUGCCAUUGUAUUUUCUUGUCAUUGGGGAUUUCCUGUCCUUUCUCAUUCCACUGUUAAAUCCCGAAGGAAUACCUUUUGAUAUUGGCUUUUACGCCGACUUUUAAUCAGAAGAGUUUUAUUGUUUAUCAAUA
Nicotiana tabacum (common tobacco) is the source of this 515-nucleotide non-coding RNA. The record is from RefSeq and is a predicted model, not a curated record. Lineage: Eukaryota; Viridiplantae; Streptophyta; Magnoliopsida; Solanales; Solanaceae.